RNAcentral lists this ribosomal RNA (1344 nucleotides) under Bacillus subtilis subsp. subtilis. Its description in RNAcentral is "bacterial SSU rRNA". It matches the Rfam family "Bacterial small subunit ribosomal RNA", at positions 29 to 1357 of the family's 1533-position model. Lineage: Bacteria; Bacillati; Bacillota; Bacilli; Caryophanales; Bacillaceae. The record is from RNAcentral.
ACGAACGCUGGCGGCGUGCCUAAUACAUGCAAGUCGAGCGGACAGAUGGGAGCUUGCUCCCUGAUGUUAGCGGCGGACGGGUGAGUAACACGUGGGUAACCUGCCUGUAAGACUGGGAUAACUCCGGGAAACCGGGGCUAAUACCGGAUGGUUGUUUGAACCGCAUGGUUCAAACAUAAAAGGUGGCUUCGGCUACCACUUACAGAUGGACCCGCGGCGCAUUAGCUAGUUGGUGAGGUAACGGCUCACCAAGGCGACGAUGCGUAGCCGACCUGAGAGGGUGAUCGGCCACACUGGGACUGAGACACGGCCCAGACUCCUACGGGAGGCAGCAGUAGGGAAUCUUCCGCAAUGGACGAAAGUCUGACGGAGCAACGCCGCGUGAGUGAUGAAGGUUUUCGGAUCGUAAAGCUCUGUUGUUAGGGAAGAACAAGUACCGUUCGAAUAGGGCGGUACCUUGACGGUACCUAACCAGAAAGCCACGGCUAACUACGUGCCAGCAGCCGCGGUAAUACGUAGGUGGCAAGCGUUGUCCGGAAUUAUUGGGCGUAAAGGGCUCGCAGGCGGUUUCUUAAGUCUGAUGUGAAAGCCCCCGGCUCAACCGGGGAGGGUCAUUGGAAACUGGGGAACUUGAGUGCAGAAGAGGAGAGUGGAAUUCCACGUGUAGCGGUGAAAUGCGUAGAGAUGUGGAGGAACACCAGUGGCGAAGGCGACUCUCUGGUCUGUAACUGACGCUGAGGAGCGAAAGCGUGGGGAGCGAACAGGAUUAGAUACCCUGGUAGUCCACGCCGUAAACGAUGAGUGCUAAGUGUUAGGGGGUUUCCGCCCCUUAGUGCUGCAGCUAACGCAUUAAGCACUCCGCCUGGGGAGUACGGUCGCAAGACUGAAACUCAAAGGAAUUGACGGGGGCCCGCACAAGCGGUGGAGCAUGUGGUUUAAUUCGAAGCAACGCGAAGAACCUUACCAGGUCUUGACAUCCUCUGACAAUCCUAGAGAUAGGACGUCCCCUUCGGGGGCAGAGUGACAGGUGGUGCAUGGUUGUCGUCAGCUCGUGUCGUGAGAUGUUGGGUUAAGUCCCGCAACGAGCGCAACCCUUGAUCUUAGUUGCCAGCAUUCAGUUGGGCACUCUAAGGUGACUGCCGGUGACAAACCGGAGGAAGGUGGGGAUGACGUCAAAUCAUCAUGCCCCUUAUGACCUGGGCUACACACGUGCUACAAUGGACAGAACAAAGGGCAGCGAAACCGCGAGGUUAAGCCAAUCCCACAAAUCUGUUCUCAGUUCGGAUCGCAGUCUGCAACUCGACUGCGUGAAGCUGGAAUCGCUAGUAAUCGCGGAUCACAUGC